RNAcentral lists this unclassified non-coding RNA (292 nucleotides) under Hevea brasiliensis (rubber tree). The record is from RNAcentral. Lineage: Eukaryota; Viridiplantae; Streptophyta; Magnoliopsida; Malpighiales; Euphorbiaceae.
CUCUUCCUCUUGCCACAAUGACAGCUAGUUCCUUUACAAAGGGUGCCCAUUUCUCAACAUAUAGACCACGAUCAAAACCUCCAAGAGCAGUUACAGCAGAAGAAAUGUCUUCUUCACUCUUAGCAACUUCAUUUCCNNNNNNNNAUAAGCUAACCUCUUACUUUUAAUCAUAAGAGGAUAGCCAAACAAUUCACCUGCCCUUUUGGCACCUUCUAGAUCAUCUAUCUGCAUAAACUCAGGUAGUGGAAUUCCAUGCCGAGAAAAAUGAACCUUUUGGAGAUAUUUAUCUUGG